AUGUCAAAAUCCCCCUUUAGUGACUUGGUGCUUUGGAAGGAAGGCCGUAUUAGGGCAUACUGUAAGACAGUAUAGAAUCUGCUGUAGUCCUUAGGCAGGAAGAGCUGGUUUCUGGUUAUCUCCCACUAGGGAGACUGGGAACUCCCACCAGCUUAGCAACUGGCACAAACUAAGUCCACACACACAGCUCAGGACUUAGUUUCUCCUUCCCAAGGCAAUCCCACCCACAAUGAGCACCUGAAAAGGUGACAGAACCUACUUUCAAAUAUUAUAGCCACCACUAAUUACUGAGAAAAACUUCACCUUGAGAAGCUUUGUUCAAUUACUAUUCACUAACCCUGGUAUUGGUUUUUUAGACUUUAGACUUAUCUGAUGCUGGUAGAGUUCCUCUGUGCUACGAUGUUAUUUUAAGAAAAAAACACAGAUCACCUAGCUUCCAAAUCAUCCCAGACUGUUGACUCUAAUGGUUCUUCUUCAGAUGACAACAGUGACACUAGUGUAAACAAAAUUAUUUUACUUAUUAUAUUCUUCUUUCUUGGAGGUAACUGAAUUACUACAUUAAGUAUAGUAAAACAUAUUUUAUGUUCCUUCAUUUACUUUUUAUUAUCCUAUGUGUAAGUUUUGCAUAAGUGUGGGAUAUUUUAUAACAGAACAAACCUAAGAAACAUGUGUAACUCCAAAGUUAUUUGAUACCAAUAUAUCUGUUUAGAAAAACUGACCGAAAUAUUUUGAAUAUAAAUAGCACCCUAAUUGUAACUGCUUAACAAGUUACAGUAGUAACAUCCUCAGUUGUUAAAUGCAAAUUACUCUAAGUUUUUAAAUACUUGAAUGUAUAUCAUUCUUCCCACCCAAGGCAAAAGCAGAUAUGCUGAUAUGCAGAUAUGCUGCUCUUUCUUCCCAGUAAUAUCAAGUUCUUUUUGUUAACUCACAAGGUAGUCUAAGAUUAGUAAGAAAUCUUUAGCAGACACAAAAGAUGAAAGAUGAAACUGCAGCAAGAGAGCAUGGCAAAUCCAAAAGAUCUAUUAGUGCAUAAAUCUACUGGAAAAAAAAAAAAAACAACAAGAACAAAAGAGAUAGAAUUAACAAGCUACAAUAAAAGUUAUGUCUUUAAAGCAGUAGAUUAUAACAGGGUGGGAAAUGUUUAAUAUGUGUCCUCCUGAAAAGCAGUUACCAUCUUUUAAAUUAAAAAAAACCAGCUGGUAUAUUUUCACAGCAUCUAGAUUUAUUUAUGGUAUAAAGCCAUAGAAUUGUAAUAUUAUUACUCCUUUCCCACCCUGGCAGAGAAUAAACAUGAAUUCAGAAGCACAGUGGAGUGAAAACAAAGAAGAGGAGAGAGAAAAGGCAGCAGAGAAAGACAGAAAAGGUGAAUAUAGAGCUACAGAAGUGUUUAUUGAGCAUGCUACAGGGGUAAGCAGAGUACACACAAAAUGAAAUUAAACAACCAUCAAACCUCCCAACUUUGUUAGAAAAUUAAUUUUUAAUUGUGCCGCUUUCAAACUAUACUGAAUUUUACAUUUCUAAAGAUGUAAAAACUCAACUAAUAGAAAAUAUACAAAAUAUUUUGAAGAUUUAUUAAAACUGAAUAUUACAAUGCAAGGUAAAUU
RNAcentral lists this long non-coding RNA (1604 nucleotides) under Homo sapiens (human). Its description in RNAcentral is "HSALNT0011248". Lineage: Eukaryota; Metazoa; Chordata; Mammalia; Primates; Hominidae. The record is from RNAcentral.